This 254-nucleotide ribosomal RNA is filed under the name uncultured bacterium. RNAcentral describes it as "partial 16S ribosomal RNA". It matches the Rfam family "Bacterial small subunit ribosomal RNA", at positions 524 to 776 of the family's 1533-position model. The record is from RNAcentral.
UACGUAGGGACCAAGCGUUGUUCGGAUUUACUGGGCGUAAAGGGCGCGUAGGCGGCGUGUUAAGUCAGCUGUGAAAUCUCCAAGCUUAACUUGGAACGGUCAGCUGAUACUGAUGUGCUAGAGUGCAGAAGGGGCAACCGGAAUUCUUGGUGUAGCGGUGAAAUGCGUAGAUAUCAAGAGGAACACCUGAGGUGAAGACGGGUUGCUGGGCUGACACUGACGCUGAGUGCGCGAAAGCCAGGGGAGCAAACGGG